UGGGGAAUAUUGCACAAUGGGGGAAACCCUGAUGCAGCAACGCCGCGUGCGGGAUGACGGCCUUCGGGUUGUAAACCGCUUUCAGCCAUGACGAAGCUUUUGUGACGGUAGUGGCAGAAGAAGCACCGGCUAACUACGUGCCAGCAGCCGCGGUGAUACGUAGGGUGCGAGCGUUGUCCGGAAUUAUUGGGCGUAAAGAGCUUGUAGGCGGUUUGUCGCGUCGAAAGUGUAAACUCAGUGCUUAACGCUGAGCCUGCUUUCGAUACGGGCUGACUAGAGGAAGGUAGGGGAGAAUGGAAUUCCCGGUGGAGCGGAGGAAUGCGCAGAUAUCGGGAGGAACACCAGUGGCGAAGGCGGUUCUCUGGACCUUUCCUGACGCUGAGAAGCGAAAGCGUGGGUAGCAAACAGG
RNAcentral lists this ribosomal RNA (409 nucleotides) under bacterium. RNAcentral's name for it is "partial 16S ribosomal RNA". It matches the Rfam family "Bacterial small subunit ribosomal RNA", at positions 355 to 776 of the family's 1533-position model. The record is from RNAcentral.